RNAcentral lists this transfer-messenger RNA (356 nucleotides) under Planctomycetes bacterium RBG_13_44_8b. It matches the Rfam family "transfer-messenger RNA". Rfam says of the family: Bacterial tmRNA, also known as 10Sa RNA or SsrA, is named for its dual tRNA and mRNA-like properties. Its role is to liberate the mRNA from a stalled ribosome. Lineage: Bacteria; Pseudomonadati; Planctomycetota. The record is from RNAcentral. RNAcentral also lists the same sequence under 1 other name.
GGGGGCGAAAGGCUUCGACCGGACGGGUAGAGAGACAGGUCGCAUAUCCAGGACGCCGGUUGGCCUGGCUAAUCAAUCCGGCACAAAAAUUAAUUGGCAACUACCAAUUAAGUAUGGCUGCUUAAAUAAGCGGCCCGUCCUGUGGGAUUAAGCCCGCGGGUUUCACAAGGGCGUCGAUUAGCGGGAUAGCUUUGCAAGGCCGUUCGUCUAAGCAAAGCGAAACCUUAACGAGCUGGCCAAACUGACAGCCUGUUGUUCGGCGGUCAGGGCGGCGAGAAACAAAAGAAUAACUAAAUAUGUAGAAGCCUGUUUUGAAACGUCUCGGGACGGGAGUUCGAAUCUCCCCGCCUCCAGUC